This 2358-nucleotide ribosomal RNA is filed under the name Triticum aestivum (bread wheat). RNAcentral describes it as "partial small subunit ribosomal RNA". The record is from RNAcentral. Lineage: Eukaryota; Viridiplantae; Streptophyta; Magnoliopsida; Poales; Poaceae.
AUGGCCGAUUUGGAUCUCCAGAAGAAGAUGGAGGAGGCGGCUGCCGAGCGCAACAACAUCGCCAAGGCCCUGCUCGGGAUUCAGAAGAGCCUGGAUCAGAUCGCACCGGCGGUGGCGAAGAUGGAGCCGGCGCUCGCCUCACUCGAGCCGGUGGUCCAUGAUCUCGCGGCCUGGCGUCCUGGCGUGGACACCGUCGUGGGGCAGCUACAAGCGGAUCUGGGCGACAUCCGCGCCCAACUGGAAAAGAUCGCGCUCCACACCAACACCACCGACAAGGCCGACCAGUCCUCGACGCCGGCAACGGCGGACGCGCCGAAGCUCGGGGCGGACCACAGUGGCGACGGCUACGGGCCCGCUGGCCACCGCAGGACACCUUUUCCACGGGCACUGGUUGGGGGAGGGCCUCUCCUCCCCACGCCGGUCCCGGACAAUGGUACGACGCGAACACCUCCCCGUACCCCUUUUCCAACUAUUCCAAUUCCUCCACCACCACCAUUAGAAUUUGGAAACGGCUUGCUGACUGCAACUCCUUCUCGCUACCAACACAAUCAUGUUGAUUGCCAUGGUUUUGAUGGCGAAAAUCCUACGAGGUGGAGGAUCCAUUGCGAAGCUUAUUUUCGGGUGUGCGGGAUUGAUCCACUGGUUUGGACUGAUACAGCCGUUGUCCAUUUCAUGGGGGCAGCGGCAUUGUGGCUGGAAUGGUCGCAAAUGCAUCUCAAAAGCCCUUGGGAGUCCUUUUGUUCCUCAGUGUUAGAUAAGUUUGGGAGGUCCGAGUUCCAGCACCUAUUGCGUCGCUUUGCUAAAGUUAAACAAACUGGAACCGUGCUAGAAUAUGCAGAACAAUUCAAUGUUAUUAUGCAUAGUCUCCUAGCGCAUCACAGUUCGUGGGAUCCCCUGUUUUUCACUACUCAAUUUCUAGAAGGACUGUCGCAUGAGAUUAAGAUUGCUGUUAUGUUGCAUCGUCUCCAAGAUUUGGAAACUGCUGUUUCUCUGGCUGCCCUGCAGGAAGAGGUGGUCGAUAUGAUACGGCAGGAGCAAGAGGUGGUAGCUGGGUAUCAUCAUGCCAGCGCGUCGCCGCGCGGUGGGCGCUACACAACCAAGGCACCCACGGCGCUGCCCCUGAGCUCUUCGGUAGCUUCGCCAGGCGGUCGGUCGGGCAAUUCUCUGCCAUCCCCCACACCGCUCGACACCAGGCGCGGACUGGAUAUCGCCAAGACCAUGGGCACAUCGACGGAAGACAAGCUCAAGGCUCUCCGGCCAUUCAGGAAGGCGCGGGGGUUAUGUUUUACCUGUGGUGAGCGAUGGGGACCCGACCAUAAGUGUGCAUCCACAGUGCAGUUACACAUUGUGGAGGAAUUGGUGGGGAUGCUAUCGCCCCCACCGUCACCUGAACCGCCGACUAACCAAUUGGAAAGCUCAGAAGAUGAUCUGUGUCUCCUCUCAACAGCAGCUAUCAGUGGUACAGAAGCUCCGAAGGCCUUCCGACUGAAUGGGAAGAUAGGGAAUCAGAUCUUGCUCAUGCUUGUGGAUUCAGGAAGCUCUCACAGUUUUAUCAACAGUGAAGUGGCAGGAGAAUGGCCUGGUGUGCAACCCAUGCAACACAACCUUAAGGUGAAAGUGGCAGAUGGUGCAAUCACAGUAUGCGACCGAGAGCUGCCAGGGUGUGAAUAUACCAUCCAAGGUGUGUCUUUCCGAUCCAGAUUCAAGCUGUUUCCGCUGGACUGCUAUGAUGUAAUUCUUGGGAUGGACUGGCUCGAAUCAAGGGGACCAAUGGCUGUCAAUUGGACAGCGAAACACAUGUCCUUUGUGCAUCAAGGGGAAAAGCUACAGCUGCAAGGGAUUGGGCAGAAGGAGGUGCUAUGUCAAGCCAUAUCAUCCGCACAGAUCAGUUUGCUGCAGGCACGCACUGACAUAGUACAUACCCUGUUAGUGGCAGAAGUGAAACCAGAUACAGAGCAACAAGAAGUUCCAAUGCCCAUUCAGCAGCUACUCGAGGAGUUCUCGGAGUUGUUUGAUGAGCCAAAAGGGCUGCCUCCAGCGCGAGAAUUUGACCACGCUAUCGAGUUGAUUCCCGGAGCCCAGCCAGUCAACGUCCGACCGUACAGAUACAACCCAGCCCAAAAGGACGAGAUUGAAGCCCAGGUUCUGGAAAUGCUGAAGCAAGGGAUAAUCCAAGUCAGCCAUAGCCCGUUUUCGUCGCUGGUCCUUUUGGUGCAGAAGAAAGAUGGGGACUGGAGAUUCUGUAUUGACUUCCGGCAUCUGAAUGCGAUUACGGUCAAGACAAGAUACCCUAUACCAAUCAUUGAAGAGCUCCUCGACGAGCUGUAUGGCUCUCAAAUCUCACCAGCUUGGAUUUAA